GCACCCAUAGUUCAACGGAUAGAACGACGGUUUCCGGAGCCGUAGAUCUAGGUUCGAUUCCUAGUGGGUGUA
RNAcentral lists this transfer RNA (72 nucleotides) under Verrucomicrobiia bacterium. RNAcentral describes it as "tRNA-Arg". It matches the Rfam family "tRNA". Rfam says of the family: Transfer RNA (tRNA) molecules are approximately 80 nucleotides in length. Their secondary structure includes four short double-helical elements and three loops (D, anti-codon, and T loops). The record is from RNAcentral. RNAcentral also lists the same sequence under 1 other name. Lineage: Bacteria; Pseudomonadati; Verrucomicrobiota; Verrucomicrobiia.